GGUGUGUGUUCCCCCACUCUGUUAGGUAGCUGAAUAGAGCAGCCUGUUCCCCACCUGCAGUACUUUCAGCACGUGAGCAGUGUGGUUUUUCGGUAAGGGUACCAACAAGAAAUCCAACAGCUGCUGAAAUUCCACAGGGAAGAGGUUGAGUGGCUGCUCCAGAAGGAUGGUGCCGUUACAAAUGCUUGAUAGUCCCCCCCGUUUGCUGAGCAGUGUGACUGGAGUGGCUGCGCAAUCUAGCUGAGCACAUGGGCAGCUGCUAACACCACGCUUUUGCCCUUGAGCUGCCGGUGUGCACAGUAUGUGGCCUUGCAGGUGUGUGUACAAAGUCCAUCUUGCUCUCUAUGGAUCUUGUGCAUUGCUUGGAUUCUUCUGGCCUCACAGAGCAAUGCUCAGACCCAUCCACCUCUCCAUUGCGAGCAACUGAACAACUGCAAACAUAGUGUGAAGUGGAGUUUCAGGUAAGUCAUUCUGUGCCUGAAAGCAGGCUGAACUGCAGCUCUGCCAGAGGUAGUAUAAAAUUACUGCAGUAACAACGGCCAGAGGCUCAAAGAAAAUACACAGCAAAUGUCCUUCCUUAUCGAGGUAGAUACCAAAUCCGCUGGUGUUUGAAAAGGUUCAAAAGCCAAUUGGCCAUAAGUCUGGCCAUGCAACAGUGGAACUCUCUGUUUCAGGCCGAAAGAUCCCAAGUGUGGCCAUUAAAGGAGCAGAAUAGUAGGAGGUGUGCCAUGGGGUGUAUCUGAACUGCAGAAAAAGCCCUGGGGCAGCAAGUCUCAUGGGGCUUGCACUAUGAGGCUAAAAGUAGCAGUGUAGGUGUUCCCACUCAGGCUGGAGCGUGGGGGGCCGGGUCUCAGAGCCUGGGCUCCAGCCCAAGCAGGAACGUCUGCACUGCAUGGGAACCCACAGUUUCCUCUGUCCCAGGAGAAGCCUUUAUCUAUUAUGUGCUUCCCCUGUGAGUUACCUCUGACAUACAGUUUCUGGUGAAAUACCUGCCAAUGUAUAUCCCUGUACUUGAUGGGAACUCUAUUAUUUCGAAGGAACCACAGUGCCCCUCUAAGACAAUCUUGUGGACAAUUCAAAACUACUGAAUGAUGUUACGAAAAAUAUUCCUUCAGGACCCUCUGGUAUAAUGCGCUCCUAAUGUGUGAGCCACGUGCCAGAAUGCUGUUGCCUGGAUUUGCCAAUGGGAGAUAAGUUUAACAUCAUAAACAAGCUGUUUGUAAGAAGGAGUCUGCUGGGCUGUUGCAGGAAAAAUACCUGUAGGGGCCUCUUCCCCUUGGCCAAGGGCGAUUUAAGUAUUUUAUACAAAGUGGGACAGCUUCAACAAGAGAAUCCCAAGUGGCGGAAGGCAUCUCUGGUCAGCCUUGACUUGAGCUAACUCCCUUUGAGGGGCUAGCUUAGGCAGCUCCCCCCUCAGCAUACUGGCUUCUGUGAAUCCCCUUUUUAGCUCUGAACUCUCCGCAGGCCUGGGUGCCUCACUUGGGGCUGUGAAUUCUACUGGGUGGCAGGGUGCCUAAUGGUUAGGCACUGCAAAUGCUCAGCCCUAAGUGCCCCUUGGGAAUCAAGCCUCACAUGUCUACGAGCUCAGUUGUGUGGGAACCUGAGCGUGUGAUCGCCCUGGUGUGUGAGCUCCUUGGUGUCUGGGGUUCGGGACGUGCAGACUCAAAGGAACAGACUGCAUUGACAUGCCCAUUUGAGUCAGUCCCCUUCCCUGCGUUAAAAUAAAAUAAAAAGGUUGUAUCCUAUUUUACAUGUAUUAAAAUCUCUCGUGUAAAGCACCCAGAGCACUUUGCUCUAAAAGCAAUAUGAUUAGUUUAUUACCAUUGAGCUGGACUGACCCCUCUGACUGACCCAGGAGCUGUGUUGAUUGGGUUGCCACACUGGGGUUUUUUCGCAGGAAAGGGAAAUAGAGAGAAAAUAGAGGUGGUUGCAGGAGGACCCUGUCCUUCUGGAAGAAAAAAGAGCCCCUUUUACAGAGUAGCAGUCACUUUGUGCUUACAUCCCCAUUCUAGGAGAACAGCAGCAGCACCAAGAUGGGAAGUGCAUUGGUUCCAAAAUGAAAUUCAGGGGGGGAAGCAGCUGUUCAUUACAGGUGUAAGCAAGUGAUCCCUGAGCUAUGGUAGGGCAUCCCCAGGCUGCAACACCUAGGUGUUUGGGAACUAAUAGCCACAGUGAGAGUAACCUGUGAGUAACUGUGUUUGGGUAUGUCUAUCCAGCAAAAAAAAAAAAAA
This is a long non-coding RNA of Trachemys scripta elegans, 2231 nucleotides long. RefSeq lists it as uncharacterized. NCBI's taxonomy places the organism in Eukaryota, Metazoa, Chordata, Testudines, Emydidae. The transcript is spliced from 5 exons. The record is from RefSeq and is a predicted model, not a curated record.